UGUGGUGGUGUAUGCCUGUAAUUCCUGCUGCUAUUGAUGCAGAGGUUGAUGGAUCAGUUGAGCCCAGAAGUUCUGAGCCACAAUGUGCUAAACUCAUCAGGUAUCCAUACUAAGUCUAGCACCAAUGUUGGGAGCUUCUGGGAACAAGGGUCAACUAGGCUGCCUAAGGAGGAGUGAACCAACCCCGGUCAGAAAAGGAGCAGGUUAAAACUCCCAUCCCAGUUAGAAGGAGAUUGGGCCCAUGAGUGACUGUUGUACUUCUAGCCUGAGCAAAAUAGGGAAAGACCAGUCUUU
This 294-nucleotide signal recognition particle RNA is filed under the name Vombatus ursinus (common wombat). RNAcentral describes it as "Metazoan signal recognition particle RNA (ENSVURG00010018919.1)". It matches the Rfam family "Metazoan signal recognition particle RNA". Rfam says of the family: The signal recognition particle (SRP) is a universally conserved ribonucleoprotein. It is involved in the co-translational targeting of proteins to membranes. Lineage: Eukaryota; Metazoa; Chordata; Mammalia; Diprotodontia; Vombatidae. The record is from Rfam by way of RNAcentral.